Molecule: transfer RNA, 68 nt
Filed under: Muntiacus vuquangensis (giant muntjac)
Lineage: Eukaryota; Metazoa; Chordata; Mammalia; Artiodactyla; Cervidae
Description: tRNA-Lys
Rfam family: tRNA
About the family: Transfer RNA (tRNA) molecules are approximately 80 nucleotides in length.
Source: RNAcentral
CAUUAAGAAGCUAAAACAGCACUAGCCUUUUAAGCUAGAGACUGAGGGUACAAUACCCUCCUUAAUGA